UUUCCGUAGGUGAACCUGCGGAAGGAUCAUUACUGAGUGAGGGCCCCUCGGGGUCCAACCUCCCACCCGUGUUUAACGAACCUUGUUGCUUCGGCGGGCCCGCCUCACGGCCGCCGGGGGGCAUCUGCCCCCGGGCCCGCGCCCGCCGAAGCCACCUGUGAACGCUGUCUGAAGUAUGCAGUCCGAGACAAUUAUUAAAUUAAUUAAAACUUUCAACAACGGAUCUCUUGGUUCCG
Molecule: unclassified non-coding RNA, 236 nt
Filed under: plant metagenome
Description: partial contains small subunit ribosomal RNA, internal transcribed spacer 1, and 5.8S ribosomal RNA
Source: RNAcentral